UAUGAAGAGAUCAAACAAACAAUGAAAUUAAAAAAGAAACUAGGAAUCUCGGAUAAACAAUAUUGUUAUUGCUACAAAAAUAGAUCAAGCUUAUGAAUGAAAUAUAAAUUCUACAUUAGGUGAGGCUCGAGGGAAUCGCUUCAUCUCCUCCAUCAUUUUCAUUCCCCUAUGGCGGAUUUCUCCAGAAGUUGCAAUGUAUAUUUUCUCAAGUGCAGUUGCAUAUGCCAAUACAUGCUUCAAGAAUUCUGUUUCAGUUUUAUCAACCCAGUAGAGGAGGGUCAUAUCCACGCUUUUGAGCCGCUUCAUUGCACUUUGUGUCAUUUCUUUUUAUCGCAAGGGAUGUGUACAUGCACUCGCACGCUUCUAAAGCAUCAGAAGUAAUUAGAAGCCUUUCUAUGUUGGGGAAGCGGCUGAUCAAGUCAAGCACAUAUGUAACCCAGUCAACCUUGGCAAAGAUCAAAUUCUUAAAAUUCAAAAUUUUGAUGUUGUCUAGUGUUAACUGAGGCUCUGGUACGGUAAAGGACUCCAACAUGUUAAAAGGCAUGCCCAAUGCAACUUCCUCAAGCAGAGGGGUUCUUCUAAAGCAAAGGGAAUUUGCUCUGCCGCAGAAAAACGGCCAGAUCCGUUAUCUACCGAGUGUCGAACUUUAUGUCAAUGUUGGGAUUUCACCAGUCAGAGAGUUCAACUCAGAGGCUUACCCAUAGGAGAGUCCGCUGAGAGAGAUCGAAAGCUGCCCUCUAUUUUCUCUAGGGUGAUGUUUUG
RNAcentral lists this unclassified non-coding RNA (762 nucleotides) under Hevea brasiliensis (rubber tree). The record is from RNAcentral. Lineage: Eukaryota; Viridiplantae; Streptophyta; Magnoliopsida; Malpighiales; Euphorbiaceae.